Molecule: small nucleolar RNA, 141 nt
Organism: Mus pahari (shrew mouse)
Lineage: Eukaryota; Metazoa; Chordata; Mammalia; Rodentia; Muridae
Product: small nucleolar RNA SNORA48
Exons: 1
Source: RefSeq, a predicted model, not a curated record
UACCUCUGGAAAUGGGCAAAGAGAUACCUUGUUGGUGCUGUUCUUAAAUCAGUCAGGGGCAGAGCAGAUGGCAGUCCUUCGUUCAUCCUAGCCGGAUGCCUGGUUUGGUGGUUAAAGCUGUCUUAAACCUAGGACUCAUAA